Long non-coding RNA from Pseudopipra pipra, 173 nucleotides. RefSeq lists it as uncharacterized. The transcript has 2 exons. The record is from RefSeq and is a predicted model, not a curated record. Lineage: Eukaryota; Metazoa; Chordata; Aves; Passeriformes; Pipridae.
GGAAUCAGCACCUCGCUGUUGUCUGUGGAAUCCUGAAAGCAGCUGGAAUUCCGGCCCACCCAUCUCGUCUUCAUAUGAGACCAGCCCACUCUCUCUACCAUGCUGGAUCAGUCAGACCCAGAAACAUGGGACAUUUCAGCAAAAGCACAGAAUUAAAUCUUCAGUUCUGUGGG